RNAcentral lists this unclassified non-coding RNA (46 nucleotides) under Acartia pacifica. Its description in RNAcentral is "partial trans-spliced leader sequence". The record is from RNAcentral. Lineage: Eukaryota; Metazoa; Arthropoda; Copepoda; Calanoida; Acartiidae.
AUGACAAGAUAUAUUUGUGCUGCUGCUUGAUUCACUUCUACAAGAG